AUUGAACGCUAGCGGGAUGCCUUACACAUGCAAGUCGAACGGCAGCACGGACUUCGGUCUGGUGGCGAGUGGCGAACGGGUGAGUAAUGUAUCGGAACGUGCCCAGUAGCGGGGGAUAACUACGCGAAAGCGUAGCUAAUACCGCAUACGCCCUACGGGGGAAAGCAGGGGAUCGCAAGACCUUGCACUAUUGGAGCGGCCGAUAUCGGAUUAGCUAGUUGGUGGGGUAACGGCUCACCAAGGCGACGAUCCGUAGCUGGUUUGAGAGGACGACCAGCCACACUGGGACUGAGACACGGCCCAGACUCCUACGGGAGGCAGCAGUGGGGAAUUUUGGACAAUGGGGGAAACCCUGAUCCAGCCAUCCCGCGUGUGCGAUGAAGGCCUUCGGGUUGUAAAGCACUUUUGGCAGGAAAGAAACGUCAUGGGUUAAUACCCCGUGAAACUGACGGUACCUGCAGAAUAAGCACCGGCUAACUACGUGCCAGCAGCCGCGGUAAUACGUAGGGUGUAAGCGUUAAUCGGAAUUACUGGGCGUAAAGCGUGCGCAGGCGGUUCGGAAAGAAAGAUGUGAAAUCCCAGAGCUUAACUUUGGAACUGCAUUUUUAACUACCGGGCUAGAG
RNAcentral lists this ribosomal RNA (623 nucleotides) under uncultured bacterium. Its description in RNAcentral is "bacterial SSU rRNA". It matches the Rfam family "Bacterial small subunit ribosomal RNA", at positions 28 to 646 of the family's 1533-position model. The record is from RNAcentral.